Long non-coding RNA from Coregonus clupeaformis (lake whitefish), 509 nucleotides. RefSeq lists it as uncharacterized. Lineage: Eukaryota; Metazoa; Chordata; Actinopteri; Salmoniformes; Salmonidae. The transcript is spliced from 4 exons. The record is from RefSeq and is a predicted model, not a curated record.
AUGAAAUCCUCAUGCCUAGAAAAUACUUUGAAGUCGACUUUCCGAUGAUUGCUGGCAGGAAAAUAAACAACAAAGACAGAACCACCGCUGUCAAAACCUCUCAUUGAGACCCACUCCACAGACUCAUUAUUACUAGAUGGCCACAGCCUAGACUCAGACUGGUAAUGCAUCAUCGGUGCUGACCUCAGGGACAUCCCAGGCCUAGAUGACAAACUGAAGAAGUUCCACCUCAACCCAGAGAGAGGAGAGGAAAAAGGAACCCAUCAACACCUUCACAUCAGACUCCAGUCUUCUCUGUCUGCCUGCUCGGUGUCUGGCUGCCUGCUCGGUGUCUGGCUGCCUGCUCGGUGUCUCUCUGUCUGCUCUGUGGGAAAUGCAUGGCAUCAGCAGAAUUCUACUGAAUGUGUUUCCUUUGCAUCCCAUAAGAGCACCCACUGUCUCCCAGCAUGCUUUUGUGAAAGAGAAGGGAUGUUUCCGCUGGAAGUGUGAUACAGUGCAUUUGGAAAGUA